AUGUCUGAUGCUGAGUACCGGUACCUGUUAUUGAGUACCGGUACUGCAUCGGACUGGUACCGGUACCCUGUCACACCCCAAUAAUCUCAUAUCAGAUAGGAAUGAGGAUGUGAGUGGGUAUAUAAGAGACUUAGACACUAGUAAUAAUAACUGGGCUUAAGCAUUUUGAGCCGGUGGUUUUGGCCCAACAAGUUAUUGUUGCAAGUGGGCUAGGUCGUUACAUUUGGUAUCAGAGCCAAUCGCCAGCCGAAAAUAUAUGGCGAGUCUCGGCUGAGUAAGGGUCUGAAAGACAAU
RNAcentral lists this long non-coding RNA (294 nucleotides) under Ananas comosus (pineapple). RNAcentral's name for it is "long non-coding RNA (ACOM_LNC041761)". Lineage: Eukaryota; Viridiplantae; Streptophyta; Magnoliopsida; Poales; Bromeliaceae. The record is from RNAcentral.